This 279-nucleotide ribosomal RNA is filed under the name Anaerobutyricum hallii. RNAcentral's name for it is "partial 16S ribosomal RNA". It matches the Rfam family "Bacterial small subunit ribosomal RNA", at positions 497 to 776 of the family's 1533-position model. Lineage: Bacteria; Bacillati; Bacillota; Clostridia; Lachnospirales; Lachnospiraceae. The record is from RNAcentral.
UAUGGUAUUGGGCGCCGCCGCGGUAAUACGUAUGGAGCAAGCGUUAUCCGGAUUUACUGGGUGUAAAGGGUGCGUAGGUGGCAGUGCAAGUCAGAUGUGAAAGGCCGGGGCUCAACCCCGGAGCUGCAUUUGAAACUGCUCGGCUAGAGUACAGGAGAGGCAGGCGGAAUUCCUAGUGUAGCGGUGAAAUGCGUAGAUAUUAGGAGGAACACCAGUGGCGAAGGCGGCCUGCUGGACUGUUACUGACACUGAGGCACGAAAGCGUGGGGAGCAAACAGG